CCUGAAAGUGAAAGCGAAGGUAAGUGUGAAAGUGAAAGCGAAAGUAAGUGUGAAAGCGAAAGUAAGUGUGAAAGUGAAAGUGAAAGUGAAAGUGGGGCUGUGUAGGGGUGAGGAAGGAGGCGCCGAGACCCAAAAUCUGUUUGCUGUCGGUGACAAAAUCCUGAAACUGAAAGCGAAACAGGAAGUGGAUGUGAAACAGGAAGUGGAUGUGAAGCAGGAAGUGGAUGUGAAACAGGAAGUGAAUGUGAAACAGGAAAUGAAAGUGAAAGUGGCUGCAUGGGGGUGAAGAAGGAGGCACCGAGGCUCGAAAGUUGUUGGUGAUGAUGAGGGCCUGAAAGUGAAGCCGAAAGUGAAACCAAAAGUGAAUGUGAAACAGGAAGUGGGCGUGAAACAGGAAGUGAGUGUGGAAACAGGAAGUGUGAAACAGGAAGUGAGUGUGAAAGUGAAAGUGGGCUCUGUGGGGGUGAGGAAGGAGGCACCGAGGCCCCAAAGUUGUUUGAUGUCAGGGAUGAUGAGAGCCUGAAAUUGAAAGUGAAAGUAAAGCAGGAAGUGAAUGUGAAACAGGAAGUGAAUGCGAAACAGGAAGUGGAUGCAAAACAGGAAGUGAGUGUGAAACAGGAAGUGAGUGUGAAAGUGAAAGUGGGCUGUGUGGGGGUGAGGAAGGAGGCACCGAGGCCCCAAAAUUGUUUGAUGUCGGGGAUGAUGAGGGCCUGAAAGCGAAAGUGAAACAGGAAGUGGAUGGGAAACAGGAAGUGAAUGGGAAACAGGAAGUGGAUGGGAAACAGGAAGUGAGUGUGAAACAGGAAGUGAGUGUGAAACAGGAAGUGAAAGUGAAAGUGGCUCUGUGGAGGUGAAGGAGGCGCCAGGGCCCCAAAUUAGUUUGAUGUUGGUGAAGAUGUGGGGCCUGAAAGCGAAAGUGAAACCGGAAGUGGAUGGGAAACAGGAAGUGGAUGCGAAACAGGAAGUGGAUGCAAAACAGGAAGUGAAAGCGAAACAGGAAGUGAAAGUGAAACUAAAGCGGAUGUAAAAGCGAAAGUAAAACCAAAUGUGGCAGCGUAAAGCGAAAAGGGCGAA
Molecule: long non-coding RNA, 1074 nt
Filed under: Numida meleagris (helmeted guineafowl)
Lineage: Eukaryota; Metazoa; Chordata; Aves; Galliformes; Numididae
Description: lncRNA (ENSNMEG00000000844.1)
Source: RNAcentral